Molecule: ribosomal RNA, 465 nt
Filed under: uncultured Klebsiella sp.
Lineage: Bacteria; Pseudomonadati; Pseudomonadota; Gammaproteobacteria; Enterobacterales; Enterobacteriaceae
Description: bacterial SSU rRNA
Rfam family: Bacterial small subunit ribosomal RNA
Source: RNAcentral
CCUACGGGGGGCUGCAGUGGGGAAUAUUGCACAAUGGGCGCAAGCCUGAUGCAGCCAUGCCGCGUGUGUGAAGAAGGCCUUCGGGUUGUAAAGCACUUUCAGCGGGGAGGAAGGCGGUGAGGUUAAUAACCUCAUCGAUUGACGUUACCCGCAGAAGAAGCACCGGCUAACUCCGUGCCAGCAGCCGCGGUAAUACGGAGGGUGCAAGCGUUAAUCGGAAUUACUGGGCGUAAAGCGCACGCAGGCGGUCUGUCAAGUCGGAUGUGAAAUCCCCGGGCUCAACCUGGGAACUGCAUUCGAAACUGGCAGGCUAGAGUCUUGUAGAGGGGGGUAGAAUGCCAGGUGUAGCGGUGAAAUGCGUAGAGAUCUGGAGGAAUACCGGUGGCGAAGGCGGCCCCCUGGACAAAGACUGACGCUCAGGUGCGAAAGCGUGGGGAGCAAACAGGAUUAGAUACCCGAGUAGUC